UACGUAGGGGGCAAGCGUUGUCCGGAAUCAUUGGGCGUAAAGAGCGUGUAGGCGGCCAGAAAAGUCCGCUGUGAAAACUCGAGGCUCAACCUCGAGACGCCGGUGGAAACCAUCAGACUAGAGUCCGGAAGAGGAGAGUGGAAUUCCUGGUGUAGCGGUGAAAUGCGCAGAUAUCGGGAGGAACACCGAUGGCGAAGGCAGGUCACUGGGCCGCAACUGACGCUGAGGAGCGAAAGCAUGGGGAGCGAACAGG
RNAcentral lists this ribosomal RNA (253 nucleotides) under uncultured bacterium. Its description in RNAcentral is "partial 16S ribosomal RNA". It matches the Rfam family "Bacterial small subunit ribosomal RNA", at positions 524 to 776 of the family's 1533-position model. The record is from RNAcentral.